UACGGAGGAUCCGAGCGUUAUCCGGAUUUAUUGGGUUUAAAGGGUGCGCAGGCGGAAGAUUAAGUCGGCGGUGAAAUUUUGCAGCUCAACUGUAAAAGUGCAUCGAUACUGGUUUUCUUGAGUGUGGAUGAAGUAGGCGGAAUUUGUAGUGUAGCGGUGAAAUGCAUAGAUAUUACAAGGAACUCCGAUUGCGAAGGCAGCUUACUAAAAUACAACUGACGCUCAGGCACGAAGGCGUGGGUAUCAAACAGGAUUAGAUACCCUGGUA
RNAcentral lists this ribosomal RNA (268 nucleotides) under uncultured prokaryote. RNAcentral describes it as "partial 16S ribosomal RNA". It matches the Rfam family "Bacterial small subunit ribosomal RNA", at positions 524 to 792 of the family's 1533-position model. The record is from RNAcentral.